UACGUAGGGACCAAGCGUUGUUCGGAUUUACUGGGCGUAAAGGGCGCGUAGGCGGCGUGGUAAGUCACUUGUGAAAUCUCUGAGCUUAACUCAGAACGGUCAAGUGAUACUGCUGUGCUAGAGUGCGGAAGGGGCAAUCGGAAUUCUUGGUGUAGCGGUGAAAUGCGUAGAUAUCAAGAGGAACACCUGAGGUGAAGACGGGUUGCUGGGCCGACACUGACGCUGAUGCGCGAAAGCCAGGGGAGCAAACGGGG
Molecule: ribosomal RNA, 254 nt
Filed under: uncultured bacterium
Lineage: Bacteria
Description: partial 16S ribosomal RNA
Rfam family: Bacterial small subunit ribosomal RNA
Source: RNAcentral